RNAcentral lists this ribosomal RNA (445 nucleotides) under uncultured bacterium. RNAcentral describes it as "SSU rRNA". It matches the Rfam family "Bacterial small subunit ribosomal RNA", at positions 26 to 518 of the family's 1533-position model. The record is from RNAcentral.
AGAACGAACGCUGGCGGCAGGCUUAACACAUGCAAGUCGAGCGCCCUGCAAGGGGAGCGGCGGACGGGUGAGUAACACGUGGGAACAUGCCCUUUGGUUCGGAACAACUCAGGGAAACUUGAGCUAAUACCGAAUGUGCCGGUAACGGGAAAGAUUUAUCGCCAAGGGAUUGGCCCGCGUCCGAUUAGCUAGUUGGUGAGGUAAAGGCUCACCAAGGCUCCGAUCGGUAGCUGGUUUGAGAGAACGACCAGCCACACUGGGACUGAGACACGGCCCAGACUCCUACGGGAGGCAGCAGUGGGGAAUCUUGGACAAUGGGGGAAACCCUGAUCCAGCCAUGCCGCGUGAGUGAUGAAGGCCUUCGGGUUGUAAAACUCUUUCGGACGGGGACGAUAAUGACGGUACCCGUAGAAGAAGCUCCGGCUAACUUCGUGCCAGCAGCCGC